GACGAACGCUGGCGGCGUGCUUAACACAUGCAAGUGGUGCGACGAACCAGGGCUUGCCCUGGGGCAAAGCCGCGAACGGGUGAGUAACACGUGAGUAAUCUGCCCCGAUGACCGGGACAACCCGAGGAAACUCGGGCUAAUACCGGAUGUGGUGCACAGGCUUAAGCCUGUGCACUAAAGGAAGCUUCGGCCUCCGCAUUGGGAGGAGCCCGCGGCCCAUUAGCUUGUUGGUGGGGUAACGGCCUACCAAGGCAACGAUGGGUAGCUGGUCUGAGAGGACGAUCAGCCACACUGGGACUGAGACACGGCCCAGACUCCUACGGGAGGCAGCAGUGGGGAAUCUUGCGCAAUGCGCGAAAGCGUGACGCAGCAACGCCGCGUGGGGGAAGACGGCCUUCGGGUUGUAAACCCCUUUCAGGAGGGACGAAGGUUCACCGGUGAAUAGCCGGCUGGAGUGACGGUACCUUCAGAAGAAGCCCCGGCUAACUACGUGCCAGCCGCCGCAGUAAAAC
This 512-nucleotide ribosomal RNA is filed under the name uncultured bacterium. Its description in RNAcentral is "bacterial SSU rRNA". It matches the Rfam family "Bacterial small subunit ribosomal RNA", at positions 28 to 526 of the family's 1533-position model. The record is from RNAcentral.